RNAcentral lists this long non-coding RNA (245 nucleotides) under Salvia miltiorrhiza (redroot sage). RNAcentral describes it as "long non-coding RNA (SMIL_LNC003001)". The record is from RNAcentral. Lineage: Eukaryota; Viridiplantae; Streptophyta; Magnoliopsida; Lamiales; Lamiaceae.
AGAAAGCGAGCUGCGUCGCGGAGGCCGAGGAAGCGGGAGCGAUUGCUGGGGCUCUGGUCGCCAAGCAAAGGCGUAGUGUUGACGGUGGCUGCCGCCGUGGGCGACGAUGGGCUGUCGUUGUUCGACGACAUCGUUUCGAUUGGGGGAAUUUCGAGUUUCUGAUUUUUUUCUAAUUUUUUUGGGCGUGUCUGGGAUGAUUUUUUGGAUCUGAUUUGAUGAGGCGGCGGCGGUGGAUCUGAUCUGAU